CCGAGUGAGGGUCCUCUCGGGCCCGACCUCCCAACCCUAUGUUUACUGAACCUCUGUUGCUUCGGCGGACCCGCCUCACGGCCGCCGGAGGAUUGCCACAAAUCCUCUGGCCCGCGUCCGCCGACGGCCACUCUUAAACUCUGUAUGAAUCGUGUCAUAAUGUCUAAGUACAAUGAUUAAAUUAAAAGCA
RNAcentral lists this unclassified non-coding RNA (190 nucleotides) under uncultured Chaetothyriales. RNAcentral's name for it is "sequence contains ITS1". Lineage: Eukaryota; Fungi; Ascomycota; Eurotiomycetes; Chaetothyriales. The record is from RNAcentral.